This 253-nucleotide ribosomal RNA is filed under the name uncultured bacterium. RNAcentral's name for it is "partial 16S ribosomal RNA". It matches the Rfam family "Bacterial small subunit ribosomal RNA", at positions 524 to 776 of the family's 1533-position model. The record is from RNAcentral.
UACAGAGGGGGCAAGCGUUGUUCGGAAUUACUGGGCGUAAAGGGCGCGUAGGCGGCCUGCUAAGUCAUACGUGAAAUCCCUCGGCUCAACCGGGGAACUGCGUGUGAUACUGGCGGGCUUGAAUUCGGGAGAGGGAUGCGGAAUUCCAGGUGUAGCGGUGAAAUGCGUAGAUAUCUGGAGGAACACCGGUGGCGAGGGCGGCAUCCUGGACCGAGAUUGACGCUGAGGCGCGAAAGCCAGGGGAGCAAACGGG